RNAcentral lists this long non-coding RNA (271 nucleotides) under Gossypium raimondii (Peruvian cotton). RNAcentral's name for it is "long non-coding RNA (GRAI_LNC010860)". Lineage: Eukaryota; Viridiplantae; Streptophyta; Magnoliopsida; Malvales; Malvaceae. The record is from RNAcentral.
UCUGUUCUCGUUACACGACAACGAGCAAAGAGGGGCAGCUGUACAGCCCAAAUUUACCCGGGCCUCACCAAAUAACAGGCCCAAAAAUUUAAAACCUACCCAAGCCCAAUUACAAAACCCAUUACCCAAAACACAAAUCAAAAAAAAGAAACCCUAACCCUAGGUACGUCGCACCUAGGGCCUUCUGACCGCAACUGCCACCACCGACUCACCCCACUUGCGCCGCGCACGUCCCAUCGUCCUCACCUGCUCCACCUGCAAACACGCAAAC